CGAACUGUUUUACGUGCGCAUCAUCAAGUUUGCCCCAAUUGCUUAGAGAGCAUCAUUGGGCUUGGUUUGGUUUCUGUGUUGGCUACCUACUUGGAAGAGAGUGUCCCUUAAUAUUUGUCUUUGUAUCGGCUUGCACCCUUUUAKKGGGAAUGCUCGCUGAUCUUAGUAAUGCUUCUCAUAUUCCAUUGUCACGCUAUCACAGUGUAGUGGUGGCAACGGCCUAUGUGUAAGUAUUCGUAAUCUUGGAUGCGGAAUGCGGAAUUGGGUAUUGGGUUGAAUAAACCUUUUAUCCCAAGCAGAGCAUCUUAUGCUCGGCACGUACGACACUAGCAAUUGCGUUGACCUUUCCCAACUUGAUUGAUGGGGGGG
This 369-nucleotide unclassified non-coding RNA is filed under the name Heuchera richardsonii. RNAcentral describes it as "partial external transcribed spacer". The record is from RNAcentral. Lineage: Eukaryota; Viridiplantae; Streptophyta; Magnoliopsida; Saxifragales; Saxifragaceae.